GGAUGAGACAUCUGUCUGACUACUGGUUGCAAGGGUUAAUUCAGCUGAUCUGGCUGGUUAAGUGCAUUUCCUCUUCCAUGAUCAUUGUUCCAGUGCUCUGUUCGGUCAAAGAGAAUCACCUUCUAGGAAUAGAGAAAGACCAGUCUUUAGUCAUAAGCAGCUGUACUCUCCUGCUAGGACCUCCAACCAAAUUCUCAAAAAAGUACAAUUACACUGAAGGCAGAACAACAGCAAGUGUAAUGAAUUUAAAAAGGAGAUAAAAAGAAAAAGCUAGAUUAUUCCAACAUAUUUU
RNAcentral lists this small nuclear RNA (292 nucleotides) under Mus pahari (shrew mouse). Its description in RNAcentral is "sRNA (MGP_PahariEiJ_G0008273.1)". It matches the Rfam family "7SK RNA". From Rfam's summary of the family: 7SK was discovered as an abundant small nuclear RNA in the mid-70s but a possible function has only recently been suggested. Two independent studies have found that 7SK RNA binds the CDK9/cyclin T complex (known as elongation factor P-TEFb). The record is from RNAcentral. Lineage: Eukaryota; Metazoa; Chordata; Mammalia; Rodentia; Muridae.